This 522-nucleotide ribosomal RNA is filed under the name uncultured bacterium. RNAcentral describes it as "bacterial SSU rRNA". It matches the Rfam family "Bacterial small subunit ribosomal RNA", at positions 988 to 1509 of the family's 1533-position model. The record is from RNAcentral.
CCAGAGAACUUUCCAGAGAUGGAUUUGGUGCCUUCGGGAACUCUGAGACAGGUGCUGCAUGGCUGUCGUCAGCUCGUGUUGUGAAAUGUUGGGUUAAGUCCCGCAACGAGCGCAACCCUUAUCCUUUGUUGCCAGCGGUCCGGCCGGGAACUCAAAGGAGACUGCCAGUGAUAAACUGGAGGAAGGUGGGGAUGACGUCAAGUCAUCAUGGCCCUUACGAGUAGGGCUACACACGUGCUACAAUGGCGCAUACAAAGAGAAGCGACCUCGCGAGAGCAAGCGGACCUCAUAAAGUGCGUCGUAGUCCGGAUUGGAGUCUGCAACUCGACUCCAUGAAGUCGGAAUCGCUAGUAAUCGUGGAUCAGAAUGCCACGGUGAAUACGUUCCCGGGCCUUGUACACACCGCCCGUCACACCAUGGGAGUGGGUUGCAAAAGAAGUAGGUAGCUUAACCUUCGGGAGGGCGCUUACCACUUUGUGAUUCAUGACUGGGGUGAAGUCGUAACAAGGUAAGCGUAGUGCU